This 465-nucleotide ribosomal RNA is filed under the name uncultured bacterium. Its description in RNAcentral is "partial 16S ribosomal RNA". It matches the Rfam family "Bacterial small subunit ribosomal RNA", at positions 338 to 795 of the family's 1533-position model. The record is from RNAcentral.
CCUACGGGAGGCAGCAGUAGGGAAUCUUCCACAAUGGGCGAAAGCCUGAUGGAGCAACGCCGCGUGGGUGAAGAAGGUCUUCGGAUCGUAAAACCCUGUUGUUAGAGAAGAAAGUGCGUGAGAGUAACUGUUCACGUUUCGACGGUAUCUAACCAGAAAGCCACGGCUAACUACGUGCCAGCAGCCGCGGUAAUACGUAGGUGGCAAGCGUUAGCCGGAUUUAUUUGGCGUAAAGGGAACGCCGGCGGUCUUUUCAGUCUGAUGUGAAAGCCUUCGGCUUAACCGGAGUAGUGCAUUGGAAACUGGGAGACUUGAGUGCAGAAGAGGAGAGUGGAACUCCAUGUGUAGCGGUGAAAUGCGUAGAUAUAUGGAAGAACACCAGUGGCGAAAGCGGCGCUCUGGUCUGUAACUGACGCUGAGGUUCGAAAGCGUGGGUAGCAAACAGGAUUAGAUACCCGAGUAGUC